This 497-nucleotide ribosomal RNA is filed under the name uncultured bacterium. RNAcentral's name for it is "partial 16S ribosomal RNA". It matches the Rfam family "Bacterial small subunit ribosomal RNA", at positions 28 to 507 of the family's 1533-position model. The record is from RNAcentral.
GAUGAACGCUGGCGGCGUGCCUAAUACAUGCAAGUCGAGCGAACGGACGAGAAGCUUGCUUCUCUGAUGUUAGCGGCGGACGGGUGAGUAACACGUGGAUAACCUACCUAUAAGACUGGGAUAACUUCGGGAAACCGGAGCUAAUACCGGAUAAUAUUUUGAACCGCAUGGUUCAAAAGUGAAAGACGGUCUUGCUGUCACUUAUAGAUGGAUCCGCGCUGCAUUAGCUAGUUGGUAAGGUAACGGCGUACCAAGGCAACGAUGCAUAGCCGACCUGAGAGGGUGAUCGGCCACACUGGAACUGAGACACGGUCCAGACUCCUACGGGAGGCAGCAGUAGGGAAUCUUCCGCAAAGGGCGAAAGCCUGACGGAGCAACGCCGCGUGAGUGAUGAAGGUCUUCGGAUCGUAAAACUCUGUUAUUAGGGAAGAACAUAUGUGUAAGUAACUGUGCACAUCUUGACGGUACCUAAUCAGAAAGCCGCGGCUAACUACGUG